RNAcentral lists this ribosomal RNA (921 nucleotides) under uncultured bacterium. Its description in RNAcentral is "bacterial SSU rRNA". It matches the Rfam family "Bacterial small subunit ribosomal RNA", at positions 33 to 938 of the family's 1533-position model. The record is from RNAcentral.
ACGCUGGCGGCGUGCCUAAUACAUGCAAGUAGAACGCUGAAGGAGGAGCUUGCUCUUCUGGAUGAGUUGCGAACGGGUGAGUAACGCGUAGGUAACCUGCCUGGUAGCGGGGGAUAACUAUUGGAAACGAUAGCUAAUACCGCAUAACAGUAGAUGUUGCAUGACAUUUGCUUAAAAGGUGCAAUUGCAUCACUACCAGAUGGACCUGCGUUGUAUUAGCUAGUUGGUGAGGUAACGGCUCACCAAGGCGACGAUACAUAGCCGACCUGAGAGGGUGAUCGGCCACACUGGGACUGAGACACGGCCCAGACUCCUACGGGAGGCAGCAGUAGGGAAUCUUCGGCAAUGGACGGAAGUCUGACCGAGCAACGCCGCGUGAGUGAAGAAGGUUUUCGGAUCGUAAAGCUCUGUUGUAAGAGAAGAACGAGUGUGAGAGUGGAAAGUUCACGCUGUGACGGUAUCUUACCAGAAAGGGACGGCUAACUACGUGCCAGCAGCCACGGUAAUACGUAGGUCCCGAGCGUUGUCCGGAUUUAUUGGGCGUAAAGCGAGCGCAGGCGGUUAGAUAAGUCUGAAGUUAAAGGCUGUGGCUUAACCAUAGUACGCUUUGGAAACUGUUUAACUUGAGUGCAAGAGGGGAGAGUGGAAUUCCAUGUGUAGCGGUGAAAUGCGUAGAUAUAUGGAGGAACACCGGUGGCGAAAGCGGCUCUCUGGCUUGUAACUGACGCUGAGGCUCGAAAGCGUGGGGAGCAAACAGGAUUAGAUACCCUGGUAGUCCACGCCGUAAACGAUGAGUGCUAGGUGUUAGACCCUUUCCGGGGUUUAGUGCCGCAGCUAACGCAUUAAGCACUCCGCCUGGGGAGUACGACCGCAAGGUUGAAACUCAAAGGAAUUGACGGGGGCCCGCACAAGCGGUGGAGC